ACCCCUUUAAAAGCACUCAGUAGGCCUUUUGCUAGUGACCCACUGAGCCGUCCAGAAGGGACAGAGUAAAAGCAUCACUUUUGGGCGAAGUGGCAACGUGUGUUGUUUGCUGCAGUCAGUGUUGUGACAAGG
Molecule: small nucleolar RNA, 132 nt
Filed under: Peromyscus maniculatus bairdii (prairie deer mouse)
Lineage: Eukaryota; Metazoa; Chordata; Mammalia; Rodentia; Cricetidae
Source: RNAcentral